This 389-nucleotide ribosomal RNA is filed under the name uncultured bacterium. RNAcentral's name for it is "bacterial SSU rRNA". It matches the Rfam family "Bacterial small subunit ribosomal RNA", at positions 29 to 418 of the family's 1533-position model. The record is from RNAcentral.
AUUAAACGCUGGCGGAAUGCUUUACACAUGCAAGUCGAGCGGCAGCGCGGGGGCAACCCUGGCGGCGAGCGGCGAACGGGUGAGUAAUGUAUCGGAACGUACCCAGUCGUGGGGGAUAACUAUCCGAAAGGAUAGCUAAUACCGCAUACGACCUGAGGGUGAAAGCGGGGGACCGUAAGGCCUCGCGCGAUGGGAGCGGCCGAUAUCGGAUUAGCUUGUUGGUGAGGUAAAGGCUCACCAAGGCGAUGAUCCGUAGCUGGUCUGAGAGGACGACCAGCCACACUGGAACUGAGACACGGUCCAGACUCCUACGGGAGGCAGCAGUGGGGAAUUUUGGACAAUGGGGGGCAACCCUGAUCCAGCCAUUCCGCGUGAGUGAAGAAGGCCUC